GCCGGCCCCCGAGGCCCACGCCCUCCAACUUUCCAGAAUGUGGGGUGGGGGGCCGGGGGCAGCCCUUCUCAGUAGGGACUGGGACCCCUGAGUCUCAAGGGCCUGGGCUUAGCUCUCUGCGGAGCCCCGUGAGCCGGAAGCAUGGAGGAGGGGAGGAAAUGUCCAUCUGCACGGGGCCCACUGGGCCUGCAGACAGGGCGCAGGAAGAAAAAUAAAGCAGGUGUCGAAGGGGCCUCCUGAACCAAGAGAAAACAGCGCCUGCCUGGGAGAAAUGACAAAUCACAGCUGGCGGAUCAAUCUGCGUAUGCACAGCCCUUCCCCAAGCCCACGCCGAGCAGCAGGAACCGGGACCCCGGCCCCAGGCUGGGCCCUCCCAGCCUCUCUUUCCAGCCUCUCCUGCAGAGGCUGAGCAGGGCCUCCGUGCCCCCCACCCAGCCCUGACUCCUCAGCAGGGAGGAGCAAGGUGUUUGUCUGUAUUUGGAACACAGGGCAAGAGGGUGCAGAGGGAGCCUCCGAACAUCUGCCUAGGACUCUGGAUGAAUCAGAAGGAAAGGCACCAGUUAACCUCUUGAUCUCACAUCCAGCCAUCCAGAGCUGAGUCUGUGCAUAUGGAGGGGUUCAAAUGCACUGAAAGUGCAUUUUCGUCACCUGGGCAAGGUGUGUCACACCUGUAAUCCCAGCACUUUGGGAGGCCAAGAAAGGAAGAUUGCUUGAGGCCAGGAGUUCAACAUCAACCUGGGCAAAAUAGUGAGACCCUGCCUUUAUAAAAAUUUUUAAAAAUUAGCUCAGUGUGGUGGUGCGCCUGUAGUCCCAGUUACUUGGGAGGCUGAGGCAGGAGGAUUGCUUGAACCCAGGAGCCCAGGCUGUAGUGAGCCAUGAACAUGAUCACACCACUGCACUCCAGCCUGGGCAACAGAGUGAGACCUUGUCUCUUAAAACAACAACUGGGCCGGGCGCGGUGGCUCAUGCCUGUAAUCCUGGUCAGGGGUUCAAGACCAGCCUGACCAACAUGGUGAAACCCUGUCUCUACUAAAAAAUACAAAAAUUAGCCAGGCAUGGUGGCACGUGCCCUGUAAUACCAGCUACUCAGGAGGCUGAGGCAGGAGAAUUGCUUGAACCUGGGAGGCAGAGGUUGCAGUGAGCUGAGAUCAUGCCAUUGCACUCCAGCUUGGGUGACAGAGCAAGACUCUGCCUCAAAAAACAACAACAACAACAACAAAAAACCCCAAAGAAAACCCAAAAAAUGCAUUUUGGGACCUGUGGGUUCAAGGGAAGGGAGUGCGGUCAUGGCUACUCUUGGAAUUACCAGUUCUCCUUUCUUACUCUAAAGGCAGACAGAGCCUCCUGACAUCCCCCUUGCUGUGGCUUCCUGCUGGUGACAUCAACAGGUGGUACAGGUACCUGCCGGGUGAUGGCCCAAAUGCCCCUUGUCCUGCCUUUAGCCAACCUCACUCCCUGAUCCCCAUCAGCAGCUGUAAUGGCAGCUGACAAGCAAGAGCCAUUCCUUUCCCAGUUUAAUGUAUUUGACUCCUGCAUAGGAAGUAACCUCAUGGAGUACGAGAAAGCCUGAGAUGGUUCUUCAGCCUCCCCAGCAAAGUGCUCCUAACAGUGCAGUGGGAUGGGUGUGGGCACAGGAAGUGAGGUGUCGGGGAGCCAGCGCAGGCUAGAGGGAAGCCCCCAGUGAAGCGUUUCAGAAGUGUCCUGCUUAACCCUGAAAGUGGACUUGAAGUCUCUAUGUGUAAAAUGCCAGGUGCUCCUACAGUUCCCCGUGUGCUGGGAAUCCACAACCAUGGUGUCCUCCGGCUUCGCUGGCCAGCCUGGCACAUUCCUGGGGGCGGGGCUGGAAGUCCUUGGAAGAGAAACUAGGUCCUUGACCAGCCUCCUGCACAUGGGCACAGCCUGGACCACACUCCUGAAAACCACUCUACUAGCAUUUGCCUGCUCUGCGGGACAUUCAUACCUGUUUGUUUUCUGCCGUCCAGCUUCCUAACCGCCUUCAAGGUCCCCUGAGACCAGGAGAGAGAAGGAAAUCCUAACAACCCCAGAGAAGGCCUGCAGUAGGUUGGAGCGCACUAGGGCCUGCAGCCACACUUCUUACUGAGAGUCCUGCUGUCAAAAGCCCUUGUGUGUUCCUACCUGCCACACUAAGCAUGAAUGGGAAGUCCGCAGCAGCAGCCUGGACGAGGGAGGGUCAAGAAGAAGGUGUUCCAACUAUUUGCUUUAAUAAAAACGUUUACUAGAAACACUAGAAAGUGUUUUCCCCCUCCCGCUCCCCCUCUCCCUCUCCCUCUCCCUCUCCCCACGGUCUCCCUCUCCCUCUCUUUCUACGGUCUCCCUCUGAUGCCGAGCCAAAGCUGGACUGUACUGCUGCCAUCUCGGCUCACUGCAACCUCCCUGCCUGAUUCUCCUGCCUCAGCCUGCCGAGUGCCUGCGAUUGCAGGCACGCACCACCACACCUGACUGGUUUUCGUAUUUUUUUGGUGGAGACGGGAUUUCGCUGUGUUGGCCGGGCCGGUCUCCAGCUCCUAACCGCGAGUGAUCCGCCA
Molecule: long non-coding RNA, 2546 nt
Filed under: Homo sapiens (human)
Lineage: Eukaryota; Metazoa; Chordata; Mammalia; Primates; Hominidae
Description: HSALNT0136020
Source: RNAcentral